AAACUUGAUGAUGACGAUGUUGUCUCCUACAUUCUUUCGGGGUUAGAUGCUGAGUACAAUCCGUUUGUUGCAUCGAUGACCUCCAAAGAAGACCUAUCCCUGAGCGAUCUGUAUGCUCAGCUCCUUGCUUUCGAAG
Molecule: small nucleolar RNA, 136 nt
Organism: Phragmites australis (common reed)
Lineage: Eukaryota; Viridiplantae; Streptophyta; Magnoliopsida; Poales; Poaceae
Product: small nucleolar RNA Z247
Exons: 1
Source: RefSeq, a predicted model, not a curated record